Molecule: non-coding RNA, 192 nt
Filed under: Equus asinus (donkey)
Lineage: Eukaryota; Metazoa; Chordata; Mammalia; Perissodactyla; Equidae
Also listed under: 1 other name
Description: Eukaryotic large subunit ribosomal RNA
Rfam family: Eukaryotic large subunit ribosomal RNA
Source: Rfam by way of RNAcentral
AAUAUUGAAGUUGUUAAUUUUUACAAAGGCCUGUGGCAGGUGAUGGUGUUAUUUUUGCCCAGUGCUCUGAAUGUCAAAGUGAAGAAAUUUACUGAAACCCAGGUAGAUUGAUGGGUGUAACCAUGACUCUCUUAAGGUAGCCAAAUGCCUCACCAUCUAGUUAGGGACAUGCAUGAAUGAAUGAAUGAUAUU